GAUGAACGCUGACAGAAUGCUUAACACAUGCAAGUCGAUUCAAGUUACCUUCGGGUAAUGAGGAUGGCGGACGGGUGAGUAACGCGUAAGGAACUUGCCUCUUGGUCUGGGACAACUGUUGGAAACGACAGCUAAUACCGGAUAUUAUGAGAUUCUCGCAUGGGGAAUUUAUGAAAGCUAUAUGCGCCAAGAGAGAGCCUUGCGUUCCAUUAGCUAGUUGGUGGGGUAACGGCCCACCAAGGCGACGAUGGAUAGCCGGCCUGAGAGGGUGAACGGCCACAAGGGGACUGAGACACGGCCCUUACUCCUACGGGAGGCAGCAGUGGGGAAUAUUGGACAAUGGGCCACAAGCCUGAUCCAGCAAUUCUGUGUGCACGAUGAAGGUCUUCGGAUUGUAAAGUGCUUUCAGUUGGGAAGAAGAAAGUGACGGUACCAACAGAAGAAGCGACGGCUAAAUACGUGCCAGCAGCCGCGGUAAUACGUAUGUCGCAAGCGUUAUCCGGAUUUAUUGGGCGUAAAGCGCGUCUAGGCGGAAAAAUAAGUCUGAUGUUAAAAUGCGGGGCUCAACUCCGUAUUGCGCUGGAAACUGUUUUUCUAGAGUACUGGAGAGGUGGGCGGAACUACNAGUGUAGAGGUGAAAUUCGUAGAUAUUUGUAGGAAUGCCNAUGGAGAAGUCAGCUCACUGGACAGAUACUGACGCUAAAGCGCGAAAGCGUGGGGNGCAAACAGGAUUAGAUACCCUGG
Molecule: ribosomal RNA, 744 nt
Filed under: uncultured prokaryote
Description: bacterial SSU rRNA
Rfam family: Bacterial small subunit ribosomal RNA
Source: RNAcentral